RNAcentral lists this ribosomal RNA (492 nucleotides) under uncultured bacterium. Its description in RNAcentral is "partial 16S ribosomal RNA". It matches the Rfam family "Bacterial small subunit ribosomal RNA", at positions 29 to 507 of the family's 1533-position model. The record is from RNAcentral.
AGUGAACGCUGGCGGUAGGCCUAACACAUGCAAGUCGAACGGCAGCACAGUAAGAGCUUGCUCUUACGGGUGGCGAGUGGCGGACGGGUGAGGAAUACAUCGGAAUCUACUUUUUCGUGGGGGAUAACGUCGGGAAACUUACGCUAAUACCGCAUACGACCUACGGGUGAAAGCAGGGGAUCUUCGGACCUUGCGCGAUUGAAUGAGCCGAUGUCGGAUUAGCUAGUUGGCGGGGUAAAGGCCCACCAAGGCGACGAUCCGUAGCUGGUCUGAGAGGAUGAUCAGCCACACUGGAAGUGAGACACGGUACAGACUCCUACGGGAGGCAGCAGUGGGGAAUAUUGGACAAUGGGCGCAAGCCUGAUCCAGCCAUACCGCGUGGGUGAAGAAGGCCUUCGGGUUGUAAAGCCCUUUUGUUGGGAAAGAAAAGCAGCAGGUUAAUACCCCGCUGUUCUGACGGUACCCAAAGAAUAAGCACCGGCUAACUUCGUG